UAUUAAAUAAAUAAAUAGAUAGAUAGAUA
Molecule: non-coding RNA, 29 nt
Filed under: Mus musculus (house mouse)
Lineage: Eukaryota; Metazoa; Chordata; Mammalia; Rodentia; Muridae
Source: RNAcentral